RNAcentral lists this long non-coding RNA (774 nucleotides) under Homo sapiens (human). RNAcentral describes it as "HSALNT0320484". Lineage: Eukaryota; Metazoa; Chordata; Mammalia; Primates; Hominidae. The record is from RNAcentral.
AGCCUUGUAACAAUGUUUUUAUUCAAGAAUAUUGGAUGAAUCUCAGUAAAAACAGCAAGCUUUGCAGCAUUUUAACUUGCUUUAUUCCCAUCCUUCUCUCUCCAGCUCCAUGAUAGCCUUCAAGCCAUACAGCUCACAACCACAGUAGCUGUGAAAACUACCAACCUAGCAACCACUGGAGGAAACAAAACAGGUUUAGAGCUCACCAAAAAGCCCAAGACUUGUCACUGUUAGACCUGUCAGUCAGCUACCUGGAAAAGCUCCAUUCUCCAGGAGACUGGCUAAGGAAGAAUGCGAUCUGUGGAAACAACAGAACUGGCAUCACCUGAGAGCUUGCAGAUACCACAGAAACUCCGGCCCUACCCAGAUGUACUAAAUGAGGUCCUCCGUGUUGCUAUGCUGAAUUCAACUGAAGAAGCUGAAGUAUUGCACCUUUACGCUACAUACUUUACAGUUCACAAAUACACUAUUUCAUGUAUGACUUGUCCUCUCUAAACUGAGAGAACAGACUAACCUGGGAGAAGCUGGAAUUUAAACUUUUAAAAUUAAUCGUGACAUCUUAGCUCAAGUAACUGUAACACAUGGUUUGACUGCCUUAGGAAAAUACAAAGCAGAAAAGCUUUAACUUUGAAAUUCAAGCAAAAAUAUUUGAGAAUACGUCUUCCACCUCAUACUCCCCAUGCACCCAGUAAUACUCCAGCUGCCUUCAGACUAUUAAAAGUCCCGAGGUCCCUUAAACCAGUUCCAAGUCCCCACCCCAAUCAAAGGACAAUG